Mycena galericulata is the source of this 85-nucleotide non-coding RNA. The record is from the annotation of a GenBank genome assembly. Lineage: Eukaryota; Fungi; Basidiomycota; Agaricomycetes; Agaricales; Mycenaceae.
UCCACUGUAGUUCAGUGGUAGAAUGGACCGAUUCUAUUGCUAGCGCGUAGGUCGGAGGUCGGAGGUUCGAUUCCUUCCAGUGGCA